Molecule: long non-coding RNA, 17919 nt
Filed under: Trifolium pratense (red clover)
Lineage: Eukaryota; Viridiplantae; Streptophyta; Magnoliopsida; Fabales; Fabaceae
Description: long non-coding RNA (TPRA_LNC014306)
Source: RNAcentral
AAUUUUUAUGACGCCAAAAAGUUUCCCCUCAUCAGUUCUCACACAUUUGAUUCCACUGGUACACCAUAUAAUGUUUCUAGGAUUCUUAAUGAUGCAACCUUUGACAUUGAUAUGGAUGCUUAUAACAAUUACAGUAAGCUCUAUCUUAGUAUCACAUUUGCAUUUGAUUAUGGAUUGUGCUUCGCAACUCUCACAGCCACCAUCUCUCAUGUUUUCCUCUUCCAUGGAAAGUAUGUUUUUGUUGAUCCUACAAUCGUAUAUUAUGUAUUAUUGACGCAUUUUUUUAUGAUAAACCAUCUAACUAUAUAUAUACUCUGGUGACUGUGAAUUUGAAAGAACGAUUAAUCAGAUGUGGAGAAAGACAACAGAUGCACUAAAAGAACAAGCUGGAGACGUACAUACAAGAAUCAUGAAGAGAAACUAUGAACAAGUCCCUGUGUGGUGGUCCAUAACCAUUUUGUUUCUUAUGACUAUUAUGGCCUUGAUAUGUUGCGAAGGCUUUGACAAGCAGCUCCAGCUUCCAUGGUGGGGGGUCUUGCUUUCUCUAACAAUUGCAUUGGUUUUCACUUUGCCAAUUGGUGUCAUUCAAGCAACAACAAACCAGGUAAUAUUUCAUCUUAACCCUACGUUUCCUAGGGGGGGAGGGCCUCUACUAACCAGAAGGUUUUGAUUGUCCAACACAAGUAGGAAAAAAAAAUCUAAAACAUGUUGUGCCUUUGUUUUGCAGCAAGCUGGACUGAAUGUGAUCACAGAGUUGAUUAUUGGGUACCUGUAUCCUGGAAAGCCCCUUGCUAAUGUAGCCUUCAAGACUUAUGGAUACAUCAGCAUGUCACAAGCACUUGGUUUCCUUCAAGACUUCAAAUUAGGUCACUACAUGAAAAUUCCUCCUAAAUCUAUGUUCAUAGUACAAUUGGUAGCAACUUUGGUUUCUUCAAGUGUAUACUUCAUGACAGCAUGGUGGCUUCUAACAACUAUUCCAAACAUAUGUGAUGAAUCAAUGUUGCCAGAGGGUAGUCCAUGGACUUGUCCUGGUGAUGAUGUGUUUUACAAUGCUUCAAUUAUAUGGGGAAUAGUAGGUCCAAAACGGAUGUUCACCAAGGAUGGAAUUUACCCCGGAAUGAAUUGGUUUUUCCUCAUAGGUCUACUUGCGCCUGUUCCAGUGUGGCUGCUAGCUCGCAAAUAUCCCAAUCACAAAUGGAUUGAACUCAUCAACAUGCCACUUAUAAUUGCUGCUGCCAGUGGAAUACCACCGGUUAGAUCAAUAAAUUAUAUUUCAUGGGGAGUUGUUGGAAUCUUCUUCAAUUUCUAUGUUUACAAACGUUUCAAGUCGUGGUGGGCUAGACACACUUACAUCCUCUCGGCAGCUUUAGAUUCUGGCAUUGCUUUUAUGGGUGUGUUGCUCUAUUUUUCACUUCAAACUUAUGAUAUCUUUGGUCCAACAUGGUGGGGUCUUGAAGGAGAUGAUCACUGUCCCUUGGCUAAAUGCCCUACAGCUCCUGGUAUUGUUACCAAGGGAUGUCCUAUCUUUUGAACUCCAUAUUUGCACUCAUUGGUCAUGAAAAUAUACACAAAUCUGAUGAUGAUUCAAAGUCUGCUACGAUGCAAUGCUAUAACAUCACUAUAGCAGUUGCUUGACAACACUUUGUAUUAAAUAGUGUAUCGUUGAAUAUCCGUCAUUUGACAACAUUGUAAUUAACAUGUUUUCUACUUUGUACUUUCCAUAUCUUUGCCAAUUGUAUAAACUGUUACGAAGUAUAAAACUGUACAGAUUGCAGAAUUGUUUCAGUAUACCAUUUCUUUGAUUCUAUCUAAUCCAUUGAAAUUUGCAACCAUUUGCAAUCUGUUUGAACCAAUUCACAAUGGCCACAAGCAUAAUGGUUGGAAGCUGAAAAUAGUGAAUGACACAUUCUCAUAACUUCAAAGAGUUGUUGAUUCUUACCCAAAUCUAUGUAAAAAUUAUAUUCAAGGUACUGAAUAGCAACUAGCAAGGAUCUACUACUGGAAAUUAUCAUCAGUGUGUAUCUAUCUGUCAUGAUUUUUCCAAGGUUAUACAACUUUGCACAAAACCAAUAGAAGUGUUACUUUCCAAAAUUACGCUAUAGUAGAAAUUCUAAUUGAAAUUCUUGCUCCCAAAAUGGUGGCUUGUCACACUUUACCUUACACUUAUGCUGUUUUUUGUUGUCAUAGCCAAGAAAGUGAGAAUAGGGUGUAUAUAGAGUUUCAUUAGUUUGUGAAAAUGGAUAUAAAGUGGAAGCUAUGGCGGUUUGUCACUUGGAUACAUCACAAUGGGCACCUAGUCAUGUUUCAUUUCAAGUUCUUGGGGUUACCCCAAGAAGCUCUUUUGGGUGCCAUAAAUUCAAAUUCUGAGUUCUGACACUUGAGGUGUUAGUUCAGUGAUAAAGUUUUCUCUUAAAAUCUUAAGAUGUCGAGUUUGAAUCAUGUUAUAGAGAUAGUUGUAAAACUGUCAUUAGUAUCACUUGAAUUAAUAAAAAAAAAAAAAUCACAAGCUUUUUCUAGCAUGUGACUUGUAUAUUACUAAUGUGCUUGUAAUUUGUGUUUAUGUGCCUCCAUGCUGUUAAAAAGAAGUAAUUGUGUUGUAAUGUGAAAUAAAUUUCUUAUCGGUAUAUAUGUAAGUCUCUGCUUUUAUAAUUUUGUUUGAAUCCUGAUGUUAUGCUUGUUAAAUGUGUAAUUCAAAUGGCUUAUGUUUGUUACAGUAGUUAGUUAGUUAUUUUACAAGUAGUAACUAUAGUUAGUUAGUUUAGAGUUUGUUAGCUAUAGUUAGUUGGGCUUGAUGCACUUACUUGUUAUCCAAGUAACAAGUAUAUAAGUCUCGUAAAAAUAAAAUUUUAUCAAUUAAAUGCAUUUACUUUUUUCUUUUAUCUUCAUUCUUUGAUUCCACAAUCCUAAUUUCACAAAUCAUCUCCAACAUAUUGGUAUCAAGAGCAAUCUGAUUUGAUCUUUCUGCACGUGGUGUUGAUUAGUUCAUGAUGAAUACGAACAUUCAAACACAGUUACCAAAAUUGAAGGGUGCUAAUUGGGAUCGAUGGAAUAUUUAGAUGCAAGCAAUCUUUGGUUUUCAAGAAGUGUUAGAUGUGAUUCAGAACGGCUAUGCAGUCAUUGGUGAUGAAGGAACUGAAGCACAAAGAACAACAUAUAGAGCUAACAAGAAGAAAGAUUGCAAGGCGAUUUAUUUCAUUCAUCAAAGUGUUGAUGAGAUAAAUUUUGACAAGAUCUCAACCUGUACAACUGCAAAAGAGGCUUGGGACACAUUAGAGAGGUGUCCCACUGGUGGACAAAAAGUGAAGAAAGUGAAGUUUCAAGCCUUAAGAAGACGGUACGAGCAUCUGGAGAUGAAAGAUCACAAGAAAAUUGAAGAGUUAUUCAAAAGAGUUAAAGUGAUUACAAAUUCUAUGGCACAAAAUGGUGAGGUAAUUUAUGACCAACAAUUUUGUGAAAAGAUUCUAAGAUCUUUGCCCCCGAGAUUUGAUUACAUAGUUUGCACAGUAGAAGAGACAAAAGAUAUAGCAACUAUGACACCUUGAACAAUAGGGCGGAGUGGGGCGGGGAUGAGUUUUGUUACUUUUUUAUUAAAAAAUGAGGUAAGAGUCGAAAACUAUUUUGUUUCGACAAUAUGAUUUUUUUAACCAAAGAAUAUAAAUAGAAAAAACAACUUUAUUUAAUAUUCAACUUAAUAAUAAAAACAAACAUAUGAAUAUAUUUUUUUUUAUAAACCGAAGGUAUAUAUCCUCUGCGAGCAACUGCAGAAACUAAUUCCAUCGAGAUAAUUGAGAUCAAUUUAAGGGGUUGACCUCUUCCAUCAACAUAUGAAUAUAAUUUAAGACUUUGUUUAAGGUUUUAUGAAUUAAGAUAUAUGUAAAGUGUAAUUAGAUAUAUGUUGGGCGGGUUCGGGAUGGGUUCGGGCGAAGGUGUAAACUUGGUUAUCAUUCAAUUGUGGAACCCUUCCAUUAGAAAAUUUAAAGAAUUGCCCUCUAUUAGUCAACCACAAAAUUACGUUGCUUGGUUUUAUGGAUUCGGAUAUGACCAAAUUAGUGAUAAUUACAAGGUUGUGGUUGUUUUUGAUAAUAGUACUCGUAGCAGAAAUGAAGUGAAGGUUCAUACUUUGGGUACCGAUUCAUGGAGAAGCGUUUCAGAGUUUCCUUUUUAUAUUGUCUAUGCUCAACGAUCGGGGCAAUAUGUGAGUGGCACAAUUAAUUGGUUGGUUUUUACGGGUAUCAAGUGGUUUAUUGCUUCUUUUGAUUUGGGGAGUGAGUGUUUUCAAUAGGUUUUGCUACCUGGUGAGGGAUUGCUUGUGCAUGAUUUCUGGUGGAGAUUGCUUGUGCAUGAUUUCUGGUGGAGAUUUUUGGCUUAUGAAGGAAUAUGGAAAUAAAGAGUCUUGGACUAAAUUGUUCACUAUUUCUUGCAUUCGAGAACCUUGUACAUCAUCUUAUCCCCCUAUUAAGGCAGUAUGUGUUUUUGAGGAUGAACAGGUGCUGCUGAUAUAUAUAGGGGAUAAGAGAUGGGAGCAUAUGUUUUACAAUCAUAAAAAUGACACUUCAAAGUUUAUUGAGUUCGAAAAGACCCCAGAAGUCCUCUGCGUUGAGAGUUUGAUAUCACCUUGUUUUUAAUGCUAGGAUGUGUAUGCACUAUGCAGUGCUAUGUCACUUGAGCAUUAGAUUUAAAUAGCAACUAUAUGGUUAAUUUCUGUUUAUGAUAUUUAUUUUGCACUUGUUCUUCUGAUUAUUGGUUAAUCACUCUUAAUUAUUUCUCAUUUGAAUAUGUAGCGUGAGAAAUUAUAGUUAUUUUCAUUUGUUUAUUUGUUUGAAGUUUUUAUUUUAGUCAUGCAUUUCAUUUUAUAUAGUUUAUUGUCAUACAGUCAUGUGUUACUUUAGAUUGUUUGAGGUUAGAAUUGAUAAGAUCACAAAUAGGAGUUAGAUGUUAUAACAAGUGAUCACUUUGUUUGUUGAAAUGUAUGCUUUGAACUUCGUGAAUUUCGUAAUGUAUACUUCAAAUCUUAAACAAUACCUUAUGAAGUGAACAAAUCAAAUGUCAUCAUGCCCUGGUUCUUUGAGAAGGUUAAGAGAGCAAAAGAAUUACUCAGAGUUAACAUAAGCCAGGUACGUCCUUUGUGCGUGUUAUAGUCCUGAGACAUUUUCUGCAUAAGUUUUGCAUUCAUAGCUGAUAUGAAUGUUUUAAACCUUAAAAUGGUAUGUUGGAAAGGUUUCAAAUGUUGGAAUGUUAAUGCUUGGUUGCAAGAUUAAAUUGUCAUUGUUAAAUAGUGAUUGACCCACCAUGUAUUAAGAUAUUUCCCAUUGUAAAUUGUAACUGGCUUGUCUUUGUUAACCUUUGAAGCACCAAUACUUCUAAAUAGUUUUGACAGUUUCGACAUUGUUAAAUAGCCUUUGAAACUGUCAAAAAACGAACAUAUAUAUAUAUAUAUUUCCUAUUGGUCUUUGUUUUUUGACAGUUUCGACAACAUAUGCCAACCACUUAAAACGUCGUUUGCUUGACCAAAAACCCGACUCGAUAUCUAAGACAUUAUCUCGUACUGUUGUUGUGUUGCUUCCAAAUACUCCAAACAAUGGAUGCGAAUUGUGCAGAUUCUACACUGGACAACUGUGUGAAUUCGUCUUAAAAUCACACCAAUGAAUAAUUUGAUGUGUGGAGCAAUAGAACGGCAACUAAUAACAAGCGGAAUAAGCAAUAAUAAUAACAACCGAUAAAAGAUCAAGAGAAGAAAGAACACAAUGUUUGUUUCGGUCCAAUAAUACCUAGUCUGGGGAGAGAGCAGUCUCUCUGUUCCACUAUAUCAAAGAGUAACCUUACAAAGAAAUUCUCAAUUGGGUUACAAGAGUUAAUCAUAAUUCUACCCAAAACCCGAAUCUCUUCCCGCGUGGCCAAGAGACUCAAUUUGAUAAGUGUUUCACAAGUGUACUACAAAGAUAGUUUGCCCACCCUAGAGUUGUACCAAGAGAAAACUCAUUUUCCUCUCUAAAACUCUAGCCUUGUGUGGUGGCAAACCCUAAUCCUUGCCUCUACAUCUCUACUCUCUUAUUUUUCCAUGAAUAAAGCACUCCCUAUUUAUAGAAAAAUAUAUGCCUAAAAACUAGUAACAAAUCUAUUUUAAAAUAAAACAAAUUCAAGUCAGAGUGUCCCAAAAAAAAUCACAAAAUCUGCAAAGAUUUAACACAGAUUUUUCAGAGUUCUUGUAACUGAGAUUUCAAGACAUACUCAACAAAUGUUGGAAAAUUAAGAAAACCACAUUUGACUUAUCACUCUCACGGACAACAACAUAAUGAAUUAUUUGAGAAGCUAUUUGAAGAGUUGAAAAAUUGUCAUCUGUUGCAUCAUGGCAUAAAACACAAUUAUCAUGACAAUUAACCUAGUAACUAUCGGGGAUUAACCCAAAACAAAGAGCACAGAAGAAUGAAAGAUGAAUGAAGAAUGAAUUUGGAAUAAGCAGAAAUUGAAUAAAGGAAAAGUAAAAAUCUUAUUCUUCCACAAAGGGCCUUAUUUAUUUAUAUACAAGUUUGUUACUUCAACUGAAGAUAACUUCCUAACUACCUAGGACAAACAAAAAGUAACUAAAUUACAACAUUACAAAAACUAACUAACUAAUUGCCUCUAAAAGUUAAGAAAACAGAAACGCGCAUCAGAACCAAAACAGAGCUUCAGAGCUUCAGAACUUAUAUCAGCUUCAGAAAUUGUGAGGUUCAGAGGUUAUAUUGCUUCAGAGGCUGAAGCGCUGGUUCAUAGGCUAUAUUGCUUCAGAGCUUGAAUUAUCAAUCAAACCAAUAGUAACCUCCAUGGCCUAUUACUAGGUUAUAUUGUACAUUUUAUAUUUUUCAGACUAAAUAUUCAAAUUAGUUCUUGAUAAUUUCAGCUCGACUUACUGUUAUACCUAACAAAUACAAUACUCAAAUUAGUUCAUGAGAAUUAUAUAAUGGUUGUGAUGCAGGUUUAACAAUAUGUUGGGAGAAUGGUUACAGGAAGAUUAUUUCUUUAUCAGAUUCGUUUCAGGUAGUUAAUCUAAUCUACAGUGGGGUUUCUCCUCAUCACUGCUUUGUUAGUGAGAUUUUGAGCAUUCGACAGCUUAUCACUCGUGACUGAAAGGUGGUUCUCUCUCAUACCCUUCGGGAAGGAAAUUCGUGUGCGGAUGAGCUAGCUAAAAUGGAGGUUGUUGUGAAUACUCCAUUGGUUAUGACUUCAACGCCUCCAAGAACUUUGGCUAAGCAACUUUUUGAAGAUGCUAAUUGUGUAAUUUUUAUCGGGGAGUAGUCUAUCGUGGUGUUUUUUCUUUUUUCCUUUUCUGUUUCUCUUCAUGUAACCAAAAUAAAAAAUUGAUAAACAUAGAAUAAAAUUAUAUAUUGAAAAUUAUUACCUUUUACAUAGUCAAAACCUGGUAAAAAUUAAUGAGAUUAAAAAAAAAGUCAAAAAUAAUAAUUAUUUUCUUAAAAAAAAAUAAUACUCAUACUCACUUUUUAUGUUAAGGUAGUGUUUGGCCUGACUUAUUUUCAACUUUUUUUCCCUACAAAAGUAGAAUUAGGGCCAAACACAUUUUUAUAAAAGCCCUUAUAUAAAAAGUAGCUUAAAUUUUGUUCACAAAAUCUAUAAACAAGUCACUUCUAUAGAAGUUACUUUCAUCAACUUUUGUGGCAACACGUAGCUUCUAGUCACAGUGCUCCCUUCAAACCUUGUCCACAGCAAAAUAUAUCACUUUUAUUUUUAUUUUUUCUUUGCUUGCCCAUUUUUCUUUUUACUGGAAAAACUAUCCCAUUAUAUUAUUUAUUUAUGCCGUAACAAUGAUAUUCAAAUUAAUUUUUGUAUACAAAGUACAAACUUCGUUUCUUACAUUGAAAUAUUUUUCGAAAUAUUUACUUCAUAUAUUUUUUUUACUAUAAUAUUUUCUGAUCAAUUUAUUUUAUAUGUAAAUAAUUUAUUUAUUUUAUAAAAAAAAUCAUAUAAUUUAUUCUCAUAAAAAAUAACAAUAUAAUUUAAUUUGAGCUCGUGACCUCUGCAUACUAUAAUGUUUCUACCAGUUAAGUCGAACUCAGAGCGAUGAACAUGCGUCAAUUCUAUUAUAUUAAAAAUUAAUUUGAUACUAGUAUUAAUAUUUUAUUGAUCAAUUAUUGAUCUGACUUUCCUGACAUCCUAAUAAAACUUCAAAUUACCAACAUUCCCUUAUCUAAGAACUGAGAAUUAAUACAAAAAAAUAAUUUAUUUUUCUUAUUUACAUUUCUUUUAACGUUUCGUAAAUAUUAAAAAAAUAAAUAACUUUUAUUUUAAACAAAAAUAAAUUAAAAAAAAACUUUAUAUCUCAGUUAUUGUGUGUAUUGUAUAUAUAAACACUUUAAUAAUUAAUAAUUUAGAAGAAACUUUAAAUAAAAUAAUAGUUUUUUAGAAAUAUUUUGUCAAAGUCAAACAAUUGUUUUGAAAGUAACUUUUAUGUUACAAAUUUUUUUAGAAAUUCAAACAACUUUAACUUUAUCUUUAAAGUUCCAUUUUGUAACUUUAAGUUGAAAGUAACUUAUAAGUAGAAAAAAAGUCUUGCCAAAUACAACCUAAGUAUUUAAUAUAGUUCUAUCCAUCCUCAUCUUUCAAUCUUAUAUAUAAAGUUCACCACCAUCGGUAAUUUUAUAUCUUUUAUCAUCACAAAAGUUUGUAGUUAACUAUCAUUUGAGAUUAAUUGAGGGAAAAAUUGUUUUUAACAUGAACUUAGUGGUCUUGGGCCUCUUGGCCAUGGUUGUUUUGAUCUCCACAAAUGGGGUAGCAGCAAUGAACUUGCAUGAGACCUCUUCAAUAUAUAAUACAACAGGUCUGUUUGCAUAUAUUAUCUUAUUGUAUGUAUAAUGUAUAUUCUAAUUUUAUUUUUGGUAAGGUGUAUAUUCUAAUUUAAUGAGCUCUCUUAACUUUAUUUGAUUGAACAUAGUUAUAAAUUUUUUAUUUAUAUUCUACCAAAAAAUAUAUAUAUUUAUAGACUAGUUACGGUCUCUCCAAUCUUUUUUAUAAAAAAAAUUCAAUUUUUUAAAUUAAUUGCAUAUUUGAUGUAUCUGAUAAAAAAAAAAAAACUUUUCCAGGAAUUGUUGAUGACAAGUGCAGCAGGUUAAGUAUUCAAAUAAAUCAAUCUCCAUCUCAGCCUCUUCCAAGUGGUAUUCCAACAUACACAGUCGAGAUUGCGAAUACAUGUGUUAGUGGUUGCAACAUCUAUAACAUUCGUGUUGCAUGUGGCAUGUUUAGUUCUGCAUUAUUUAUCGACCAUAGAAAGUUUAGGCGUCUCGGACGUAGUACUACUUGUCUAGUUAAUGCAGGAAAAACUUUUCCUAAUGGAGCUGUUAUUUCAUUUAGAUAUGCUAAUAAAUUUUCUUAUCCACUCUCUGUUUCCCAUGUAAUGUGCGGUUGAUUAUCCAUAUUUUGAUUAAAUGUUACCGUAUGAAUUUACAAAAUAUAUAUGGAUUUAUUCGUCCACAAAUUCUAGCUCAAUUCAUAGGAAUAUGGAUUUGUCAAUAACUUGUCUGUGUGAGUUUUCUAUAACUUGUCAUUUCGUCGGUUAAAAAAAAUAUAUGAAAAGUACAAUUUGGCCCAACUUUUUUUAGGUGUAGAAGCUAUUUUUUUUUUUUUGUUUUCAUCCUCCGGUUCUUAGGGAAAGGGGGCCCUAGUAGUCUAGAGUUCGGGGCGAGUUAUGGCAUCAAGUGAUUUCAGUCCCUUCCCAAAUAUAGUUGCGGGGGAUCGAACCGUGAUCCUCCCUACCAAGUUCAGCAUCAAUCACCACUGAACCAAUUAACAUUUGGUGGUGUAGAAGUUAUUUUAAUCAUAAAGCUUGAAGUAAAAUUUUUGUUUUUAUAAGAAAAAAAUUUAAGGAUUAUUAAAUAUUUUUUUUUUUGGCUUUCACCACCAGUUUAAUCUGGUUCAGGAUCAGUUCUGGCAUGAAGUAGUUUCAGCCCGCUCCCGAUCGCAGUUGUGGGGGAUCGAACCGUGAUCCUCCCUACCAAGUUCAGCGUCAAUCACCACUGAACCAACUUUUUUUACAGCUGCAAGACAAGUAAAAUUUGAUUAAAAAAUUAUUUCAUCUAAAAAUCGAACUCGAGUUCUCCCAAAUGAACCCUUUAUUUUUUGACGAAAAAGAGUUGAUAGCAUUUUAUUUAUAAUAAUAUGUUCAAUAUAAAUGAGUAUGUCAAUCAUCAUACUGAAAACUAGUUUGAGAUAUGGUGUUUUAAAAAAUUCUAAACAAUGUAAAUUGUUUGUCUCCAAGCAAACUUAACACAGGAGAUUUAUAAAAACAGGGGGAAAAUACAUACAACUAUGGAUUAUAAUCUCUUAAUUCAUUAACAUUUUUACGUACUGAUUGACCCAACUUUUUUUAUGUGUAUAAGUUCAUAAAGCUAGAAAUAAUAGUUUUUUAAUUAAAAAUUAAAAUUGUUUGGUAAAUUAUUAUUUUUAUAAAAAAAGUUAAAAGUUGUUUUUUUUUAUUAUAAUAGGGUUAAAAUAUAUGUUUGAUAAAAGUGUUUUUUUAUUAUAAAAAAAAUGUUGAUUUUUUAUGAGUAAUCAAAGUGUUUUUUUACUGUAGCUUUUAAAAAUUGUUGUUUGGUCUAGCUUCUUAUUUUUAAGGAAUAUUUUUAAAGAAAAAAAGAGGAAAAAAAGUUAGGUCAAACGGUACUAAAGUAAAGGAACAGAAACAUCAACAACAAGUUUUGAGUCCAAUUCAAACACCACCAAGCCCAAUUGGCGUACCAACUACCUAGUUAGCGCCGAUAAUAAACCAAAGCUUCACAAAUAUGAAUUGUUCAAUUAAGUACAAACGACUCUGUUUUUUUUCAAGAACAAAAUUGUCAUUCUCAUCUCUAAUACACAUUCCAUUUUUUGGUCUAUUACUAUGAGGCAAAAAGAAGGCGUCAAUGUUACAUUUAAAAGUUUCCCUCAAGUUUUUUCCACCUUAACUCUAGUUCCACACGAGUACACAACUCACGAGAAGCUGAUGUUCGGUUUUUUAUGAAAUUGGAUCUUUCAAUUACUUCAUCCGUCCCACAAUGAGUGACCCAUUUUAAAAAUGUAAAUUAUUCAUAUAUCUUGGUUUGACUAUAUUUUUUACUAAUAAAUAAAAAUAAAUAUCAGUACAUAAGAUGUUGUUAGAUUCUUCUCGAUGAGUAUUUUCAAAAUAUCAAAUUUUUAUAAUUUUUAUUAUUAUACAAUUAAAAAUAUUAAUCGUCAAAAUUAUGCAUCAACAUACGUGAAAGUCUAGUUUUCCUCGUUGGAUCUUGCAAUGACAUCCUUUGUGUUGUAGGCGAAGGUGUAGACUUUGUUCUCAUUCAAUUGUGGAACCCUUCCAUUAGAAAAUUUAAAGAAUUGCCCACUAUUAGUCAUCCAGAAAAUUACCAUGUGUGGUUCUAUGGAUUACAAGGUAGUCAUCCAAAGAAUUGCUAACAUAUAUAAGGGAUAUGAGACCGGAGCAUAUUACUUACAAUCAUAAAAAUGACACUUCAAAGUUUAUUAAGUUCGAUAACACCCGCAAAAGUCUGCGUUGAGAGUUUGAUAUCACCUUGUUUUUAAUUCUAGGAUGUAGAUGCGGUGUUAUGUCACUUUAGCAUUAGAUUUAAAAUAAAACCUAUAUGGUUAAUUUCUGUUUAUGAUAUUUAUUUUGCACUUAUUCUUUUGAUUAUUGGUUACUUCAUAAAUCACUCUUAAUUAUUGAUCAUUUGAAUAUGCUGCGUGAAAAAUUAUAGUUAUUUUCAUUUAUUUAUUUGUUUGAAGUUUUUAUUUUAUAGUCAUGCAUUUCAUUUUAUAUAGUUUACAGUCAUGUGUUACUUUAGAUUAUUUGAGGUUAGAAUUGAUAAGAUCACAAAUAGGACUUAGAUGUUAUACCAAGUGAUCACUUUGUUUGAUGAAAUGUGUGCUUUGAAGUUUGAACUUUACGAAUUUCGUAAUGUGUGCUUCAAAUUAGUUCUCGAUCGGCUCGACUUACUUUAAUUCCUAACAAAUAUAAUACUCAAAAGGUUAUUUUUGAGCUUAUGCAAACAACUUAUGCAAUAUAAAUUAGGUUUUAUGUUAUUUUAUAAGUUUACACUAGUAAAAAUUGUAUUUUUAUAAACUAUUUUAUCAUAAACUAACUCGACAAACUUAUAAUACUCCCUCUGUUUUUUUAUAAGUGUUCAGUUUCAUCGGAUUUAGCGUUUCUAAUUAACUAUCAAGAAUCUGUUUUAAGGAUACGAUUUUUCGAUUAUACCUUUUGUCAAUUAUUCUUAUCUUUAAUUAGCGUUUCUAAUUAACUAAAGUUGUUUUUUAAACAAAGUUUUUUUUUUAUAAAAAGAAAGUUUUUUCAUUUUUUUUAAUAAGAAGAUAAAGUGCAAAAAUUCACUUUCUUAAUUUUAUGUUAUUAUUCUAAUUGGACACUUAUAAAAAACGGAGGGAGUAAUAUAUAAAAAUUGCAUAAGCUGUUUGCAUAGACUCAAAAAUAAGCUAAUCAAAACGGAACAAAAUUAGUUCUUGACAAUUAUAUAUGGGAGUUGUUGACGAGUCCAACUAUAAUGUUCUUGUUACGUAUCUUAAUGUUUUUGACGAGUCCAAUUAUACCUUGUGUUUUAAGAAUUAAUUUGAUUAAAAGGAGAAUAAUUUUGACAAUAAUUAAUUAUUGUCAAAUACCUAAUCCUUUUAGUCAAAUUAAUUCUUUCAAAUUUAUUUUUUUAAAUUUUGGAUAGACACUAAUUUGGAUCAAAUCAAUUUUUUUUUACGGUGGAUCAAAGCAUUUUUUUUUUGUACAUGGAUCAAAUCAAUUUUAAAAAGAAGAAAUUUUGUUUUUUCAAAAUAAAGAAGAAAUAUUCGAAGACAUCAAAUGAAUUUUAAGCGAUCAGAUAAUUGAAAACAAAGUAGCACAAGGAUACUCUCGUAUAAAGGAAAAUUGAAAGAAUUUUUAAUGGAGAGGAUAGAAAAACAUAAUUCGCUAGGGUUAAAGAAAAAAAAAUCGUGAGCUUAUCUCAGUUGGUAGGGACAUCAACAUUUUAUAUGCAGGACAUGGGGUUCGAACCUCGAAUACUCCACUUAUUCACCUUAAAAAUGUCGAAUUUCUAACCACUAGGCUGACUGACAAAAAAAGAAAUCUCUUUUUUUUCCAUCAAUUUUUUUCUUAAGCUAUCUACUUCUAAUAUAGUAAUAAAAUUGAUUACUAUCAAGAAGAGGACCUCUAACCCCAGUGAUCCACCAGUACCUAGUAUGACACCCGAACGAACUCUACCGAACUCCAUUUAGUCUAUUUAUUUGUUUUACAUCAAUAUAGUGAUUAUACUUUUAGCCAAAGUGGAGUGAAGGUUGAUGCUUUGGGUGCCGAUUCAUGGAAAAGCGUUUCAGUGUUUCCUUUUGCUGGUGGUGUCUAUGUUCAACCAUCAGGGCAAUAUGCGAGUGGCGCAAUUAAUUGGUUGGUUUUUACGGAUACCGAGCAAAGUCAAAGUUUUAUUGCUUCUUUUGAUUUGGGCAAUGAGUUUUAUCAAGAGGUUUUGCUACCCGAUGAUUUUUGUGAGGCAGAUUCAAAAACAUUAUUGAGUGUUUGCAGGGAUUGCUUGUGCAUGAUUUCUGGUGAAGAUGUUUGGAUUAUGAAGGAAUAUGGAAAUAAAGAGUCUUGGACCAAUAACUAUAUAAAAUAUUUUCGCUAAAGAAUUUGAACCUCCUUAGUUCUUAAUCACAUUAUCCUCAACUAGCGGGUCAGGCACGCGCCUGCCUGUGUCUAACUUAUGUACCCAAAAAAAAAGAUACGCCUUAUGUUAUGGUGAGUUUGUUAAUAAAAGAUUUUUGUUGCUACUAAAAAAAGCAAGGGUAAUGUUGGUAUUAUGAAAAUUCUACCCCAAAACUCAUGUAUUCUUUUUAUAUAUUAUAGUAUAGAAUAGAUAUAUAUGAAAAAACCAUAAAAAAAAAAAAACAGGAAGUUAAGGGCAAUUUUGGAAUAAUCAAAAAAUCAUAAAGGAAGUUAAGGGCAAAAUGGACCAAAAAAAAUCCAGCCCAAACUCCCUUAUCCCCUUUAUAUAUUGUUAUAGAAUAGUAUAAAAUAGAUAUAGAUGAAAAAACCAUAAAAAAAAAAGAUAGUAAGUUAAGGGCAAUUAUGGAAUAAUUAAAAAACCAUAAAGGAAGUUAAGGGCAAAAUGGACAAAAAAAAAUUCACCCCAAACUCCCUUAUCCCCUUUAUAUAUUGUUAUAGAUUAUAGAUAAAACAUUAACAACAAUAUAAAUUAAGCUAACAACAACUUAAAUUAAGUUCUUAAGAAAACAAAUUAAAUUAAGGAUGCUCUUUUCAUUUUUUUUGUUUUGCAAACCAAUGAUUUUUUUGUUGAAACAUCAUUUUUUUUUUUGUUACAUAAAAGAAAAAAUAAAGAAAAAGCCAACAAAGAUCACUCCCUAAUAAACUCUACACCCCAAACAUCAUCCUAGAGUGGCUUAACCAGAUCUCUAGGAGGAGUAGGAACAUUCACCAAUGGCGAGUCAGAGUUAGCACCUAAUUUAGUCAACACAUCAUCAUGGUACUAUUAUUUAUUUAUUUUUGAACAUCUACACUUUUAUCAAAUAAAAAGAGAAUCUGAACAUCUACACUUUCACACAUGGUUAAGGCCACAUCAAGGAUUCAUUUUCUAUAAUAAGGUCAAAUGAGAGAACCGCGAGCAUACACGCUCACUCACAUCACUAGGCCAACCUCAACAUCAUAAAGUUAUCUUCCAAAGUCAAUAGGCAACAUAGACGUCAUGUCACUGUUCUGAAGUAACCGUGUGGAAAAGUGGCCCAGUCCGCCUCAUUUAGGUCUGACCUGUUUAAGCCCGCCAAAAAAUAGAGUGGGACGGGCCAACUUGGAUAUCCGAACUCAAAAUUCAAAUCUGCCCCAUUUAUUAGCGGAUUGGCGGACCGACCCUUCAAACACUUUUUUUUUAAUUAUUUUUACAGAUUGAUUUAUUACAUAAUUUACAAAAUUAUUAAUCUUACUAAAAUCAAAUAUUUUGAUUUUUCUGAUAUUCUAUAUUAAGGUACAAAUACUAUACAUUUUUAAAAAAUACAGUUUUACAUACCGGUAUCUACACAGUACCAAAUACCGAACUCGUACAUAUAUAUCUUAAUAUAAAAAAGAGUUAACUUUUAAAUAUAUUCAAUAAUUAAUACUAUAUUUGCUAUAUUAAAGACCAAAGAAAAUACUUUCUUCGGUCCUCUAUAUAAGAAGAAGUUUAUUUUCUAUAUUCAUUGUAAAGUUGAUGUAUUUGGACUAUAAUAUUGUCUAGAUACAUCAAGUUUACAAAGAAUCUAAAAAACAAAUUUUUUUUUAUAUAUAUAUAUAUAUAUAUAUAAUCGGAGAGAGUAUUAAAAAAGAGUCGUGCCUCAUAGGAAUUAAUUAGCAUUUUCCAUGGAAAAUAAAUUUUGUGGUACAAGUUUGCGCCAAGAUAAAAACGGGCAGAAAUUAAUGCAUGUGGGACAACUGACAUGUGACAAGUCUUAGAAAUGUUUGGAUUUUCCAAAUGGGAAGGAUAGGAACAUGUUUGUACUAUUGUAGAGCAAUGCUACAGUGAGUCACUCUGACAUUAACAUUAUCUCUAUAAAAGGUUGAAAUUAAGGAGACAGCAUUCUCAUGAGAGAAAUUAUAGAGGGAAGAGAAAUAUCUAACACACAUUUGGUCUGAGUUUCUUCAAGGACAUCCCUGUCUCUGCAAUGGCAGCGGUUAUCCAAGAUACAUUCCAUAUUCUAACUAAGAAGGACUAUGAAUCCAAACUUGCCAUUGCAUGUAAGCCUUUUCUUCUCUCAUUAAUUUAGUUAAUUCUUGUAAAGUUUUGUUUUGUUUUCAAGUAGUCUAGUGGCUAGAAAUUUCACCCUUAAAAGUGAAUAAAUGGAAUAUUCAGGGUUCGAAUUUUGGUUGCAUAUAAAAUGUGGACCAAUUGAGCUAAGUUCACGAGGACAAUAAAGUUUUGUUUUUAUCAAUGGUAUGAAAUUGUAGAUGAUUAGAUGUUUGAAUGGGCGGUGAGUUUAGUAAAAUCACAGUACCAAGUGUGUAGCUUUUGUCAAAAUCGCAUUCUCUUGUAACUGUGCUUAUUUCACCACAAAUACAAACAUAAGUAUGUGGUUAGAUUAUCUAUACCAGCCAUUAGUUUGUAAGAACACAUCAGAUUAAAGACAUGUUUGGUAUCGAAGCGGCACAUAUGAUUGAGUUCAAUUAUUCGAAUUAAUAUUAUCAAUUUUAAGUCUUGUCUGGUGUGUGUGUGUGUGUGUGCGCGUCUAUGUCUAUGUCAAUGCUUCGUAGUUGUUAUUGUUAUAUGUGUAUGAAUCUAAAGCUAGAGAUUCUUUGAUGAAGAUGAUGACGACAAAGAAGUGGAUGAUUCUCCUAUAGAGCAAGUCAGACUAACAGUACCAAUAACAGAUGAUCCUACACAACCAGCACUUACAUUUAGGACAUGGACUAUUGGUUUGGGAUGUUGCGUUAUCCUUUCCUUUGUGAACCAAUUCUUCGGGUUCAGAACAAACCCUCUAUCUAUCUCUUCUAUUGCAGCACAGAUAGUUUCUCUCCCACUCGGUAAACUAAUGGCUGCAACACUUCCAACAACAAUAUAUAAAGUCCCUUUCACUCCUUGGUCUUUCACAUUGAAUUCUGGACCAUUCAAUUUGAAGGAACAUGCUCUGAUAACCAUCUUUGCUAGUGCUGGAUCUAGUGGUGUUUAUGCCAUUGACAUUGUCACUAUUGUUAAGGCUUUCUACCGCAGGAGUAUCAAUCCAAUUGCUGCUUUUUUGCUAGCAUUGUCAACUCAGGUGAACAAUUUUAACCAUUUGCAUUUAUUCAGUUUAAUAUAUCCAACAAAAGAAAAAUAUUAGUUAAAAAUGUGAUUGCUUUUUGUCAUAUUGAAUUUUUUAGAUGCUCGGUUAUGGAUGGGCCGGUAUAUUCAGAAAGGUUCUCGUGGACUCUCCCUACAUGUGGUGGCCUUCAAAUCUUGUCCAGGUGUCUCUAUUCAGGUAUUUCUUUAUUUUUUCAAUCAUAGUUUUUAUGUGCAAAUUCUUGUUUUUCUUUCAUGUGAAUGGAAAAUGUGUAAGGUUAAUUAACUACAACUUCAUGGCUAAAUAUAUGACUAUCGAGUUUUUUCUUUGUUCCUUUUUAUAAUAACAUAAAUUUCAAAGGAAGAGUGAAUGAAGGUUUUAUUUAUAGAACAUACAUUUCAGAUAUUGAAAGUGUGUGACAAAGACCCGAUACAAACACAUGUGGUACAUUCAAUAUCAUUUUUCUUGAGUUAUUACUAGUUUCAAGCCGGUGUUUGCAUGAACUGUAUUUGUGUCGGUGCUUCAUAUAUUUACUAUUUAGGGUUAUGAUGUUGAUUUUUUUCCUCAUUGGUAAAUGAAUCUUGAAUGACACAGAGCAUUUCAUGAAAAAGAAAAGAGGCCUAAAGGAGGAAACACUAGGCUGCAAUUCUUUUUCCUGGUCUUUGUGGCUAGCUUUGCUUAUUACAUUAUUCCAGGCUACUUUUUCCAAGCAAUAUCAACCAUCUCUGUUGUUUGCUUAAUAUGGAAAAACUCCAUCACUGCUCAACAGAUUGGUUCAGGAAUGAAGGGUCUUGGUAUUGGUUCAUUUGCCCUCGAUUGGAACACUGUUGCUGGUUUCUUAGGAAGUCCUUUGGCUUAUCCUGGUUUUGCCAUCAUCAACAUGUUGGUUGGAUUUGUGUUGUAUAUCUAUGUUGUGAUUCCCAUUUCCUAUUGGAGCAAUUUUUAUGACGCCAAAAAGUUUCCCCUCAUCAGUCCUCACACAUUUGAUUUCACUGGUGCACCAUAUAAUGUUUCUAGGAUUCUUAAUCGGGCAACAUUUGACAUUGAUAUGGAUGCUUAUAACAAUUACAGCAAGCUUCAUAUUAGUAUCAUAUUUGCAUUCGAUUAUGGAUUGAGCUUCGCAAUUCUCACUGCCACCGUCUCACAUGUUUUCCUCUUCCAUGGAAA